UUUUGGUUAUUAUUUGUUUUAACAAAAGUUUAUUCUUAAAUGUAUAACAGGCUCCAAGACAAAACUUCAUCCUAGCUAUAGGUGGCAAGAGACAUGACAGGAAUCCAGAUGUUAAAACAGGAAUGGAAUUAAGGAUCAUCAUUGUUCCAGGUACAAGGAAGAACUCAUUUUUUGCUAGAUUCCUUAAUUUCACCUGUGGCCAGGGUGGCCUUCCCCAAAUCCUUCACUUUUAGCUCCUUUAGUUUCUUCUGCUCCCAUUUUUGCUUCUGCCUAAAUGCCUUCUCUCAUCCAUCUCCUUGGCCUUUUUCUUGGGCUGCUGUAAGGGCUUCUUCUUGUCACCUUUGCUGCCAGACAUGGCACCUGCUACCUCUUC
This is a long non-coding RNA of Phyllostomus discolor (pale spear-nosed bat), 373 nucleotides long. RefSeq lists it as uncharacterized. The transcript is spliced from 3 exons. The record is from RefSeq and is a predicted model, not a curated record. Lineage: Eukaryota; Metazoa; Chordata; Mammalia; Chiroptera; Phyllostomidae.